GGGAGGAGGCAGAUCUGGGUUCAAAUGGGGAAGGUAGUAGAUUUGGGUUCGAAAGGGGAGGUAGUAGAAGAAGAAGAAGCCACCGCUGUUGCUCUGCUUCUGGGCUCGAACGGGGAAAGUAGCAGAUCUGGGUUUGAAAAGGGAGGUAGAAGAAGAAGAAGAAUGAGAAGCCACCGCUGUUGCUCUGUUACUGUGUUCGAGCGAAGGUAGUAGAUCUGGGUUCGAAAGGGGAGGUAGAAGAAAGAUAUGGGCUCCAAAAGGGGAGGUAAAAGAAGAAAGAUAUGGGCUCAAAAAGGGGAGGUAGCAAAUCUGGGUUCAGGAGAAGCCACCACCACUGCUCGAAUGGAGGUAGCAGAUUUGGGUUUGAAAGCCACCGCUGCUGCUCCUCUUCUAGGUUCAAUCGAAUGUAGCAGAUCUGGGUUCAAAAGCCACCACUGCUGCUCUGCUUUGCUUCUGUAACAAUGCUUUUUUAAUUUUUUCCACCGGGGUCACACGGUUUUGAUUCGACCCCAAAUCCACAAUUUUGAAAUAUGAGAUCCCACAUUUUUCUCGUCCCCGUUCCAUAAACAAAACGGAGCCUAAAAGAAUGAACUCGUGGCAGCGAAUAAAAAAUGGCCAGUUUCUCUACCCGCGCCCUACGGCAGCAGCACAUAGAAGAUGGCGGGUAAAGUGUGGCAAGAAAUCCGAGUCCGGAUAUGUUGACAAGCAUCCAAUCGCACAUUUGAACAUCGGUUGUGUUGUGGUUAGCGAUAUUCUAGACGCACGGCUGGAUGAUCGUGGCCAGCAAUUUGUUGUGAUCAGCAGAUCCGAAUUCAGGAAAUCCGGUUUGGUUUUUCGUUAGCCGAUGUCAUAUCUUCCUCUCUUUCGUCUCUCGCUCGCUCGCAACUUUUUCCCGCUCCAAGAGCAGACGUAAUUUGGGUUGCGCAUAUCGUGCUUCACAGACUCACAGUUCGAAUUCUCUCCUAGCAGAGGGACUUGGGGUUUAGGGUUUUAAACUUAAUACGACUUUCCACAUUUCGUCUCAUCUUCUUACCCCGAUCACAGACAUACCGUCUUUUUUAGGGUUAGGGUUUCGAACUCCAGUCUAAAUGGCGGCCCCUGCAGUUCAACAGCCUCGCUCUGCUUCUUCCAAGACUGAGAGCUAUGUCGACAACAAGCGCAAAGAGGACAUACGUCAGGCCAACAUUGUCGCUGCCCGAGCUGUCGCCAACGCUGUCCGUACCAGCCUCGGUCCCAAAGGUAUGGACAAGAUGAUCUCCACUGCCUCCGGUGAAGUUAUCAUCACCAACGACGGCGCUACUAUCCUUAAUAAGAUGGAAGUACUCCAGCCUGCUGCCAAGAUGCUUGUAGAACUCUCCAAAUCUCAGGACGUCGUCGCUGGUGACGGAACCACCACUGUUGUUGUCAUCGCUGGAGCCCUCUUAAAGCAAUGCCUCUCUCUCCUUAAUAAGGGCAUCCACCCCACUGUUAUCUCCGAUGCUCUUCACAAAGUCUCUCUAAAAGCUGUUGAUGUACUCACGGCCAUGGCCGUGCCUGUCGAACUCUCUGAUCGGGAAUCGCUUAUCAAGUCUGCCAGCACUUCUCUUAACAGCAAAGUAGUCUGUCAGUACUCCACUCUUCUCGCUCCUCUUGCCGUUGAUGCUGUUCUAUCUGUCGUGGACCCCGCCAAACCUGAUCUUGUUGAUCUUCGUGAUGUCAAGAUCGUUAAGAAGCUCGGCGGCACUGUCGAUGACACUGAGCUUGUUAAGGGUCUGGUGUUCGACAAGAAAGUUAGUCAUUCUGCUGGUGGUCCUACGCGUAUGGAAAAUGCGAAGAUUGCUGUUAUCCAGUUCCAGAUUUCGCCCCCAAAGACUGACAUCGAGCAGAGUAUCGUUGUUUCGGAUUACACCCAGAUGGAUCGGAUUUUGAAAGAGGAGCGUAAUUAUAUUCUCGGUAUGAUUAAGAAAAUUAAGGCUACUGGGUGUAAUGUAUUGCUGAUUCAGAAGAGUAUUUUGAGGGAUGCUGUGACGGAUCUUUCAUUGCAUUAUCUUGCCAAAGCGAAGAUUUUGGUUGUCAAGGAUGUUGAGCGCGAUGAGAUUGAGUUCAUUACGAAGACUUUGAAUUGUCUGCCAAUUGCUAAUAUAGAGCAUUUCCGUGAGGAGAAGUUGGGGCGUGCAGAUUGUGUCGAGGAGGUUUCUCUUGGAGAUGGGAAAAUUGUGAAGAUUACGGGUAUUAAGGAUAUGGGGAGGACGACCACAGUGCUCGUUCGAGGUUCUAAUCAGUUGGUUAUUGAUGAGGCUGAACGAAGCUUGCAUGAUGCCUUGUGUGUCGUCAGAUGCUUGGUGAACAAGAGGUUCUUGAUUGCAGGUGGUGGUGCACCAGAGGUAGAGCUUUCAAGGCAGCUUGGUGCAUGGUCGAAGGUAUUGCACGGGAUGGAGAGUCACUGUGUCCGGUCGUUUGCGGAAGCCCUUGAAGUUAUUCCAUAUACUUUGGCGGAGAAUGCAGGUUUGAAUCCAAUAGCUAUUGUCACAGAGCUCCGGAAUCGCCAUUCUCAGGGAGAGAUAAAUGCUGGUAUCAAUGUGAGAAAGGGGCAGAUCACAAACAUACUGGAGGAGAACGUGGUGCAGCCAUUGCUUGUCAGCACUAGUGCCAUCACAUUGGCGACUGAGUGCGUCCGGAUGAUUCUGAAGAUAGAUGACAUAAUUACUGUGAGAUAGACGUGAUUAUGUGCAAGGUCAGCGAACUACCGGAGCAGUUUUGGUCUUGUUAUGAUUUUGUGUGCUUACAUUUUAAGUGGUUCUUUUCUGUUUCUCUAUUGGAAGUGAGUAUGCCAAAUGGUCUCAGCCUUAUCGCGUUUUCCCAGACCUUUCAAGGUGAAUCACAACCGUGGUGAAUUUCAAGGAAUAAAAGUUAGUGGCACUAUCAUGGUUCUUUGCUAGCUUAUUGCUAAGGAUGUAUGCAAGAGUGGCAAUCUACAAGUAUAUUGUUGGUGUUACUAACCUUAUUUACAUGCGAGUCAUGAGUGGUUGAUUGUUGGCUUGUGAGGAAGAAUUAAGGUUAGGAGUUGUUGAAGCAUGGUUUUCUGUAUGUUGAUCAGUUGUAGAAGAAAGGUUUUCAGAUAUGUUAAUGCUUUUUCUUAUAUGGUUUUACUCACGGAGUUAACCUCACAUUUUAAGACAUCAAAGCUUUAAAAUUUGUACGGUGUCACUUUAAGUGCAUUUGGUGAAUAUAUAAGGCUGCGUUUGGAAUCA
This is an RNA transcript of Nelumbo nucifera (sacred lotus), 3230 nucleotides long. It is a transcript of the gene named T-complex protein 1 subunit delta pseudogene, with no coding region annotated. NCBI's taxonomy places the organism in Eukaryota, Viridiplantae, Streptophyta, Magnoliopsida, Proteales, Nelumbonaceae. The record is from RefSeq and is a predicted model, not a curated record.